Long non-coding RNA from Cyanistes caeruleus (blue tit), 628 nucleotides. RefSeq lists it as uncharacterized. The record is from RefSeq and is a predicted model, not a curated record. Lineage: Eukaryota; Metazoa; Chordata; Aves; Passeriformes; Paridae.
AUGGCCUGUUGUAAUAGAAUGCAGUGCUCUCAAUUCCUAUUUUAUACAGGCAAAAACACAAGCUCAGAAAUUAAUACCAGUCAAUUAUCCCACAAAGACAUUUUCUGUUCCCCUGUUUCUGGCUGACAUGUACAAUAUUGCAUUGUAAUAAAAACACUAAUGCUUACUAUUCUAGAAUCUUUUUGAGUAGCAGUCUCAGAACUUUUAAAACACCUAGCCACUGCUGAUCCUCACCUGUCACUGCCUGUGACUUCACUGUAGUUGUGUUAGUUUGGACAUUUUGCUGUUUCAUAUUUCCUUGCUGUUGGUUUUCAGGCAGUAACUGGGACCUUGGGACUGCUGCAACAUAUUCCAUUUGAGAGUUGACCCACUCAGCUUUUGAUCUUAGCAAGCACAGAGUUGCUGUUGGGAGAACGCAGGAGGGGGGACCAUGCUGUGCCAGGAUGUUGUGAUCACUCCUUUGGCUCCACGCUGCUGGAGAUGACAGAAGGCAGCAAAUCACAAGUCAGCAGGGCACUGAAAAGCUCCUGUGACUGCUUUCUUUUUGUGUUAUGUUGUAGUAAGGGAAAAUUUGGACCCUUUGACCCACCCUGACACCAUGGGAAGGAAAUAAAAAGGGAAUCACUCA